Molecule: long non-coding RNA, 2042 nt
Organism: Dermochelys coriacea (leatherback sea turtle)
Lineage: Eukaryota; Metazoa; Chordata; Testudines; Dermochelyidae
Exons: 3
Source: RefSeq, a predicted model, not a curated record
ACCACCCAGAAGAACCAGGGUGCCCAGUGAGCUGGUAACUAAGGAACAGCUCACUGGUGUGUGUGUGUGUGUAGGAAGGAUUUUGAUCACCUGACAAAGCUAAUGAGGGGGUCACCUGACAAAGGAUCCUGGAGGUUAUAAAAGGGAGGUUAUUUCCCUGGCUAUUUUGGAGAGAGGGAGGAGAGAUCAGAAGCAGAAAGCUGACUUCUGAAGUCAGCUGAGACUCCAUGUUCCAGAGGAGAAGAAGAAGCCAUGUGCAAGAGGGCAGGAGGAGAGGAAGGAUUCUUGACUCUCUGAAAUACUGACCUGAGCCCAAAGAGCACUUGAGUGGUGAGGAAACUGAGGUAGUGAAAUGCAUGAGUUCAUGGAGGAUUGUAACCUCUACAGCCACCCUUAAUGUCCUGUAUUGCAGUCAGAAAGCUCCUGGCAAAGGUUGAGCAGAGAUGAGUCAUUUUUGGAGUACAACAAUACAGACAAAGCUUUCAGGGGCCAAGGGAUGAACAGAGACUAUGCCAUUCCCAGCAAAGUUAUCACCAGCCCUGAGGGUCAACCCUACUGGAGAAACAGAAGAUGUCUAAACAAAACCAAGGACAUUGGCCGUCUGUUUCUUGAGGUUAUUCAGAAUGUUACUACUGGUGCACAUGUGCUGACACAGACCACUGAUGAUGAACUAUACCAAGAGCAGAAAAUACAGACUUCAGGUGGCAGAUCCUCCUCAGCACCGGAAUGUGCAACUGCAGAAGGAACAAUUUUGAUAACAAGAAAUGGUCAUAGGCUCAGGAAGCCACUGAUGAUGUUCAGAGAUAGUAGUUACUGACAGAUGUGUAAUACAAAGCAAAACAAUCCACUCAUCUGUUAAGGGAAUACAAGUCACCUAACCAGAUAAUUACCUGAGAUGUUUUGGAGUGCUGUAUAAAUUUGCUAUAUUAGUUACAUUUUAUUUCAAGAGAUUGUUAGAAAAUAAUGGGAGGGUGGGAGAAGUGGGGAUAGAAGUGAGAGAAAUGCCAAAUAUGUUUGUUUCAUAUUCUUGUUGAUGCUUCAUUUUCCCCCAGGUUCUCUAACCAACUCUAGUUAUUUAUUUGAUUAAAAAGAAACAAAGGGAACAUGUAACAGAGGCCACUGGGUAGUGGUGCAAAUAUGGGAUGGGAUUUAACCGGGGCUACAGAAGGGAAGUACAGCUUCCCAUCCUGUGCUCAAAGGAGAGGGGAGCAACAUGUCCUGUCCCUGAGCUGGGAGAGCAAUGCUCCUCCCCAGCUCCCUCCUCCCUGGCUGGUAUAGUGUGAGCUCCCCCUUCUGUUUCAAUUUAUUUUAACUGCUGGGUAUAACCUUUUGAAACGCUGACCCAUGUCAUGUGAUUGAGACACAGUCUCUUCCCAGCACUCCUCUGUGUCAUUCCUUCAUCACAGUCAUGUAAGCAUCUACAGCCUGCUAGGUUCUUCACGGACAGGUAUAAAGACAAGAGGCCUGAUCCUCCUCUAAAUUGGGGUAGCUCCAUUGUCUUCUGUCACAACCCUGGGUUUCCUAUGACUAGGUAUCUGUUGCCUGCUGCCACUACCAAGCUUCUCACUUGAAAAUUUUACCUCAGGACACUUCUCCCUUUGUUCCCUUGUUACAAAGACUCUGUCCCCAUGCGCAGGGGUCCCCUGAUAGUGAUGUCUGUCAGUGUUGCAGAAAAUGGCAGCAAAGAGGCAUUCUCUUCCCACCCUAGGUUCUUAUUUCUGCUGCAGCACUUCUACUUUGUGCCAACCCAGAGAGCUAGGAACUGAACCCAACUCAGAUCCUUUGCAUGGCAACUCACCGUACUGGACCAAACCACUGGGGCAGCCCAGCUUAUGGUACCGUAGUUGUUGCCUCCAAGUACCAAGGACCAUUUGAGCAGCAAUAGUCAGAAACCUAAAAUAUGGCAAAAAUAAAAUCUUCUCUGGUUUGUGUGGUGCUUGGGAAGCAGCAUCUAGAGAGCUGCUUGGGGUGAAAUGGAGAUUCUGUUUGUACCACUUCUGAAUUGUAGAGGAUUUUAUUAAAUUGUAUCAUGAAAUGACCAU